GUCAAUGACAGAUAUACAUUUAGCGAAGUUACAUUUGUCUCCAUAAGAGGCGCUAAAAACAGUUGCUCAUCAGGCAACGUUGGAAUUAUGGCGCACCAAGCUCACUAAGAGGCUGGAGUAACACGAGACGCAACGGACGAAGCAUCUUUGUGGUGUAUUAUACAUGCAUCUCACGUUUCAUACCGCGUGUUUGCAGUUGUAUCUCCUUGAAUCUUUUACAUCCAACCAUUUGAGGUGUGAAGCUGUUAACAAUGGGAAAAAUGUGUGUAAUGGAAAAACUUUUGAUUGGUAUCUGCCUUCAUGGUUCAACAAAAGUUUUAUCACCGACUAGGAGUAGUAGAUCUACUCCUAGUCUGUGGUUUUAUGGUGAAGAUUUAUGGUAGAAGAAUUUAGUAGGAGGAAUGUCGAAGGAGCCAGAGUUGUAGGACUGCUUAAUUCUUUUAUAGGUGUAACACAUUGUGCUUAUGAGAUGUUAAUGUUGGCACUGCAGUUCAGCUUCUUGAUGCAUAUGAGUGGCUUAAAUCUGGUUUGUCCAAUUGGUGUGGCCUUUAGAAUCAGCAAGUUUUUGUUACUGUAUAAAUGAGUCACUGUGAGAUAAUAUUUUUUGUGAAUAUAGAAUAACCAAAACUCGAUAUUUUUGGUAUCAGCAUAAGAGAUUUUGAAAUGUUGUAGAGCCUGCAACCAAGGAGCUUCUGGAAGGACUGAUUGUGCCACUUAAUUAUUUGUUCCCUUGUGGUGUUGCUGAUGGAACAACCAUGAUCAUGUCGGAUUAUCAAAGUUCACACAAUGUUUGAACCUGGCAGGGAUCCAAGAAGAGAGAACGAAUAAGGAUUCGGGAGUAAUAAGAGAAACCACCGGCCUUCCGUUUUCAUUUCGGGCUAGAUUUUUGCCAACUUAAGCCAUCGACGCCAGCACUUCGUACCAAUCAACGCAUAUCAAGCCUAUAAAAGCGAUGUGUAUUUAGAUUAUUUAAAAAUGAGUGGGGAGUGGGAAAUAAAUUUUGAACAGCGCUGGGCUGACGAAAAUUUUAUCCAGCUCAAAACACUCAAGGACAUGGAUCUCCUGGUGAAGGAAAUUAAACAACGACUAAGUUCCAUUGGUAUUGAGGAGGCGAUUGAACCCAAUAUCACACCAUUAACAGAAAGUGAAAAGGCUCUGUUGCUCCAUGUCGUCCUCUACGGAGCUUUCUAUCCAAAUUACUUCACGCGUGACGCCGUCAGUGGCCAAAUAGAUGAAUUCGAAGAUCUCAAGAGUCUCUCUGGAUUGGAUCCCUUUAGCACGGUUCGACUACAAGGAUUCACUUUCUGCGAACCGCAUAAAGCAUAUGGCCCACAAAUGUUGAACAACAUUUCCAAUUUCCCAAUAAAAUGGUGCUAAUCAAUGUUGAUGUAACAAAGGAAAAUAACAUCAAACAGGUUGUCCCAAAAAUCAUGGAAGAAUCUACAGGAAAAAUAGACCUUCUUUUGAACUGCA
RNAcentral lists this long non-coding RNA (1473 nucleotides) under Daphnia magna. RNAcentral describes it as "uncharacterized LOC116925638, transcript variant X3". Lineage: Eukaryota; Metazoa; Arthropoda; Branchiopoda; Diplostraca; Daphniidae. The record is from RNAcentral.